ACAAUAACAAUAGGUGCCUCCGCACCUUCGGUGCUUGGCCCCUAAAAACUAACAAUAACAAUAGGUGCCUAAGCACCUUCGGUGCUUGGCCCCUAAUGAAGUAAAAAUGUAUUCAGGGAUUGCAUUUUAGUUCAGUGCAAGGUUUCAAUUUGUUUUUAAAAAGUUAAGAAAAAAUGAAUGUCAAGCCAAAGUGUUGCCAGGCAAUUUGAGUUAGAGACCCCUGGUGUGUGGGCUUAUGUCACCCAUAAUAUUUUGAAAAAGAACAUAGGUUGUAAUAAUAUUUUCUGUCUUUUUGCAGAUAUGCCGACUGCAGCAACAUCUCUCUGCUGGGGAACAUCAGCAGGACCUGUUCCAGAAGGAGCUGCCCAUGUUUGUUUCCCCACACUCCCAGCCCCCCUGCAGCAGCCUAACAGAACUCAUUCAGCUGUGUGGAGGAACUGUGUGCCGGAGUGUGCGGCAGGCCGGAAUCUGUAUUGGAGAGUAUAAUGGCAAGAAACCAGAGGGGAGCCACAGUCUUUCUGAACAGUGGAUUUUAGACUGUGUCACCCAUCUCACACUACUCCCAUAUAAAAAUUAUGUCUUGGAAUGAAGAUCCCUGGAAUUUGAUUUCCCUGUAGUUGUAGAAAUUUUGCUGUGUCAUUUUUUAUUAUUAUUUGUAAUCUGUGUAGCUUUUUAUUAAAUAUUUCUGUUGUAUUGUGUUUUUGGCAACUUAAGUAGUGCAGUGUUUUUUCACUGACUUAUUGUUUAGAUGUCUUAUGUUACUGUGUUUAUUUGUAGCAAGCCAUUAAUAAAACUGUGACUGUAAAGCAUCCUUCAAUUAAAUACAAAGGUGGUAGAGAGUAAAGAGUACAUGCUCGCCUGAACUUACCAUGCUUGAAAAACUGUAACAAGGCAUUGUUGAAAAUAAAAAUCUGACAAAGUUGA
Megalobrama amblycephala (Wuchang bream) is the source of this 924-nucleotide long non-coding RNA. RefSeq lists it as uncharacterized. The transcript has 2 exons. Lineage: Eukaryota; Metazoa; Chordata; Actinopteri; Cypriniformes; Xenocyprididae. The record is from RefSeq and is a predicted model, not a curated record.